Molecule: ribosomal RNA, 579 nt
Filed under: uncultured bacterium
Lineage: Bacteria
Description: partial 16S ribosomal RNA
Rfam family: Bacterial small subunit ribosomal RNA
Source: RNAcentral
UGGGGAAUUUUGGACAAUGGGCGAAAGCCUGAUCCAGCAAUGCCGCGUGUGUGAAGAAGGCCUUCGGGUUGUAAAGCACUUUUGUCCGGAAAGAAAUCCUUGGCUCUAAUACAGUCGGGGGAUGACGGUACCGGAAGAAUAAGCACCGGCUAACUACGUGCCAGCAGCCGCGGUAAUACGUAGGGUGCAAGCGUUAAUCGGAAUUACUGGGCGUAAAGCGUGCGCAGGCGGUUUGCUAAGACCGAUGUGAAAUCCCCGGGCUCAACCUGGGAACUGCAUUGGUGACUGGCAGGCUAGAGUAUGGCAGAGGGGGGUAGAAUUCCACGUGUAGCAGUGAAAUGCGUAGAGAUGUGGAGGAAUACCGAUGGCGAAGGCAGCCCCCUGGGCCAAUACUGACGCUCAUGCACGAAAGCGUGGGGAGCAAACAGGAUUAGAUACCCUGGUAGUCCACGCCCUAAAACGAUGUCAACUAGUUGUUGGGGAUUCAUUUCCUUAGUAACGUAGCUAACGCGUGAAGUUGACCGCCUGGGGAGUACGUCGCAAGAUUAAAACUCAAAUGAAUUGACGGGGUCAUAGCUG